UCGAGCGGACAGAUGGGAGCUUGCUCCCUGAUGUUAGCGGCGGACGGGUGAGUAACACGUGGGUAACCUGCCUGUAAGACUGGGAUAACUCCGGGAAACCGGGGCUAAUACCGGAUGGUUGUCUGAACCGCAUGGUUCAGANAUAAAAGGUGGCUUCGGCUACCACUUACAGAUGGACCCGCGGCGCAUUAGCUAGUUGGUGAGGUAACGGCUCACCAAGGCGACGAUGCGUAGCCGACCUGAGAGGGUGAUCGGCCAAACUGGGACUGAGACACGGCCCAGACUAAUACGGGAGGCAGCAGUAGGGAAUCUUCCGCAAUGGACGAAAGUCUGACGGAGCAACGCCGCGUGAGUGAUGAAGGUUUUCGGAUCGUAAAGCUCUGUUGUUAGGGAAGAACAAGUGCCGUUCAAAUAGGGCGGCACCUUGACGGUACCUAACCAGAAAGCCACGGCUAACUACGUGCCAGCAGCCGCGGUAAUACGUAGGUGGCAAGCGUUGUCCGGAAUUAUUGGGCGUAAAGGGCUCGCAGGCGGUUUCUUAAGUCUGAUGUGAAAGCCCCCGGCUCAACCGGGGAGGGUCAUUGGAAACUGGGG
RNAcentral lists this ribosomal RNA (594 nucleotides) under Bacillus subtilis. Its description in RNAcentral is "bacterial SSU rRNA". It matches the Rfam family "Bacterial small subunit ribosomal RNA", at positions 62 to 638 of the family's 1533-position model. The record is from RNAcentral. Lineage: Bacteria; Bacillati; Bacillota; Bacilli; Caryophanales; Bacillaceae.